CUGACUUAUCACUCAAAGGCAUUGUGGGAAAUAAAAAUAGUAGUUUGCUCAGAUUCAGCUGGUGAUGCUCAGCUCUGCUCACUGGCACCCUCCGACGUAGGAGGGGAGCUGCCACCACCCCAAAUCUGAAGGGGAGCCUGUUUACAGUCACACUUUGGAAUGAUACACGUGCAAAUGAAUGUGGGAAGCAUUUUCCUUUAUUUCUGUGAACUGGGGUUUGGCUUCCGACCCUGGGUCAAAUUGUUUUCCAAAGUGCGAAAUCACAGUUAAAACCUAAUCUUGUGGUUGGUGCACAACCCUAACCCAAAUGGGUCCUUCUGCAGGGGAGCUUCCAUGAAAUGUUGAUGAGAAAAUACUGGUGGGUAUGUUGCACCCAUAGCAGCAGAUGAUUAGGCAACUGAGGAUGCAAUUCCAACCCCACUUGCUUGAGAUUAAGUCCCAUUGAAUUCAAUAUGAUUUACCUCCGAGCAGAAACAGUCAGGCUUGCACUGUAAAUCAUGACAAACAAUGUCUCUGUUUUUCUGCAGAAUUGCUCUGCACAGCUACAGAGGGUCUGAAUAUGAGUCAGAGAUUAUAGUUCCUCUCUCUCCCUAGUGAAGACAAAUGCCUGAUCAUACGACAAGCUAUGCAAGUGUUGAAUUAUCUGUGGGCUCUAGUCAUUCUUCAUGUCUGAAGCAAGGCAGCAGCAGCAUGUCAUAAAGACCCAAAUUCUGCAAUGAAAUGGCAGUUCCCUGCCCAUAUUUCCUCCUUUAUUCCUUUCUGUAUCUACAUCCCACCCAUGAAGAGUUAUGACUUUAGUCCAGGCUUGCAGGAAAAUAAAGCUUUAUUUCAUAAUAAGGAUGAACGUGGCCUGAAUAUAAAUGCAUGGAAAUACAGAAGCUCCAUUAAGUAAUGCCAUCAUGGGAUAUGAUUUAAAAUACCAACCAAACAGGUCCAGAUGAAGAAUGUUUUGUGACACAAACUUCAGGUUCUAAGUUUUUGAGGCCAAGUAUUACCUUCCAAGGAGGUAGAGGUGUUAGGAACCUUGAGUGGAUCUAAACACAGGAAAGAAACGCUAUAAAUAAGUCAGAAAUUAGAUCGUUUUAACAAAAUAAAAAACUUGCUAUGAGAAAUGUCAUUUUAAACAA
RNAcentral lists this long non-coding RNA (1127 nucleotides) under Podarcis lilfordi (Lilford's wall lizard). The record is from RNAcentral. Lineage: Eukaryota; Metazoa; Chordata; Lepidosauria; Squamata; Lacertidae.